CCCUGCCCUUUGUACACACCGCCCGUCGCUACUACCGAUUGAAUGGCUUAGUGAGCCCUUGGGAGUGGUCUAAUUGAGCUGGUAACGGCACAAUUGGACUGUAAACUUGGGCAAACUUGGUCAUUUAGAGG
Molecule: ribosomal RNA, 131 nt
Filed under: Wallemia sp.
Lineage: Eukaryota; Fungi; Basidiomycota; Wallemiomycetes; Wallemiales; Wallemiaceae
Description: partial small subunit ribosomal RNA
Rfam family: Eukaryotic small subunit ribosomal RNA
Source: RNAcentral